UGGUGGGUUGCCUUGUCAGGUUGAUUCCGGUAACGAACGAGACCUCAGCCUGCUAAAUAGUGCCGGUUACCUUGGUAGCCGCUGCGCUUCUUAGAGGGACUAUUGACGUUCAGUCAAUGGAAGUAUGAGGCGAUAACA
RNAcentral lists this ribosomal RNA (138 nucleotides) under uncultured eukaryote. RNAcentral's name for it is "partial 18S ribosomal RNA". It matches the Rfam family "Eukaryotic small subunit ribosomal RNA", at positions 1299 to 1458 of the family's 1831-position model. The record is from RNAcentral.